ACCUGGGUAGCUCAGUCAGUUGAGCAUAAGACUCUUGAUCUCAGAGUCAUGAGUUCAAGCCCCACCUUAGGCA
This 73-nucleotide transfer RNA is filed under the name Canis lupus familiaris (dog). It matches the Rfam family "tRNA". From Rfam's summary of the family: Transfer RNA (tRNA) molecules are approximately 80 nucleotides in length. Their secondary structure includes four short double-helical elements and three loops (D, anti-codon, and T loops). Lineage: Eukaryota; Metazoa; Chordata; Mammalia; Carnivora; Canidae. RNAcentral also lists the same sequence under 1 other name. The record is from Rfam by way of RNAcentral.